This 21-nucleotide microRNA is filed under the name Arabidopsis thaliana (thale cress). RNAcentral's name for it is "ath-miR8169". Lineage: Eukaryota; Viridiplantae; Streptophyta; Magnoliopsida; Brassicales; Brassicaceae. The record is from miRBase by way of RNAcentral.
AUAGACAGAGUCACUCACAGA